GAUGAAGAACGCAGUGAAAUGCGAUAAGUAAUGUGAAUUGCAGAAUUCAGUGAAUCAUCGAAUCUUUGAACGCACAUUGCGCCCGCCAGUAUUCUGGCGGGCAUGCCUGUCUGAGCGUCAUUUCAACCCUCAUGCCCCUAGGGCGUGGUGUUGGGGAUCGGCCAAAGCCCGCGAGGGACGGCCGGCCCCUAAAUCUAGUGGCGGACCCGUCGUGGCCUCCUCUGCGAAGUAGUGAUAUUCCGCAUCGGAGAGCGAUGAGCCCCUGCCGUUAAACCCCCAACUUUCCAAGGUUGACCUCAGAUCAGGUAGGAAUACCCGCUGAACUUAAGCAUAUCAAUAAGCGGAGA
Molecule: unclassified non-coding RNA, 347 nt
Filed under: soil metagenome
Description: partial contains 5.8S ribosomal RNA, internal transcribed spacer 2, and large subunit ribosomal RNA
Rfam family: 5.8S ribosomal RNA (bases 1-120)
Source: RNAcentral